GGCAGCAGCAGGGAAUUUUGUGCAAUGGGCGAAAGCCUGACACAGCAACGCCGCGUGGGGGAUGAAGGCCUUCGGGUUGUAAACCCCUUUUGGGAGGGACGAAAUUGACGGUACCUCCAGAAAAAGCCCCGGCCAACUACGUGCCAGCAGCCGCGGUAAU
RNAcentral lists this ribosomal RNA (160 nucleotides) under uncultured bacterium. RNAcentral's name for it is "partial 16S ribosomal RNA". It matches the Rfam family "Bacterial small subunit ribosomal RNA", at positions 347 to 524 of the family's 1533-position model. The record is from RNAcentral.